AGCGAACGUUUGCGGCGGGCUUAACACAUGCAAGUCGAACGGGCUGUUCCUUCGGGGGCAGUCAGUGGCGCACGGGUGCGUAACACGUAGGUAAUCAACCCUCUGGUUGGGGAUAACACUUCGAAAGGAGUGCUAAUACCCGGUAUGGCGCAGCGGUCUUCGGAUCGCGGCGAGAAAGACCCGCAAGGGUUGCCAGAGGACGAGCCUGCGGCCCAUCAGCUAGUUGGCGAGGUAACGGCUCACCAAGGCGAAGACGGGUAGCUGGUCUGAGAGGAUGAUCAGCCACACUGGAACUGAGACACGGUCCAGACUCCUACGGGAGGCAGCAGUGGGGAAUAUUGCGCAAUGGGCGAAAGCCUGACGCAGCCACGCCGCGUGAGCGAUGAAGGCCUCGGUCGUAAGACUCU
This 407-nucleotide ribosomal RNA is filed under the name uncultured bacterium. RNAcentral's name for it is "bacterial SSU rRNA". It matches the Rfam family "Bacterial small subunit ribosomal RNA", at positions 29 to 434 of the family's 1533-position model. The record is from RNAcentral.